GAUUAGUGGCGAACGGGUGAGUAACACGUGAGCAACGUGCCCAUAACUCUGGGAUAACCUCCGGAAACGGUGGCUAAUACUGGAUAUCUAACACGAUCGCAUGGUCUGUGUUUGGAAAGAUUUUUUGGUUAUGGAUCGGCUCACGGCCUAUCAGCUUGUUGGUGAGGUAAUGGCUCACCAAGGCGACGACGGGUAGCCGGCCUGAGAGGGUGACCGGCCACACUGGGACUGAGACACGGCCCAGACUCCUACGGGAGGCAGCAGUGGGGAAUAUUGCACAAUGGGCGAAAGCCUGAUGCAGCAACGCCGCGUGAGGGAUGACGGCCUUCGGGUUGUAAACCUCUUUUAGUAGGGAAGAAGCGAAAGUGACGGUACCUGCAGAAAAAGCACCGGCUAACUACGUGCCAGCAGCCGCGGUAAUACGUAGGGUGCAAGCGUUGUCCGGAAUUAUUGGGCGUAAAGAGCUCGUAGGCGGUUUGUCGCGUCUGCUGUGAAAUCCCGAGGCUCAACCUCGGGUCUGCAGUGGGUACGGGCAGACUAGAGUGUGGUAGGGGAGAUUGGAAUUCCUGGUGUAGCGGUGGAAUGCGCAGAUAUCAGGAGGAACACCGAUGGCGAAGGCAGAUCUCUGGGCCAUUACUGACGCUGAGGAGCGAAAGCAUGGGGAGCGAACAGGAUUAGAUACCCUGGUAGUCCAUGCCGUAAACGUUGGGCGCUAGAUGUGGGGACCAUUCCACGGUUUCCGUGUCGUAGCUAACGCAUUAAGCGCCCCGCCUGGGGAGUACGGCCGCAAGGCUAAAACUCAAAGGAAUUGACGGGGGCCCGCACAAGCGGCGGAGCAUGCGGAUUAAUUCGAUGCACGCGAAGAACCUUACCAAGGCUUGACAUAUACCGGAAACGUUCAGAAAUGAUCGCCCGCAAGGUCGGUAUACAGGUGGUGCAU
RNAcentral lists this ribosomal RNA (940 nucleotides) under Pseudoclavibacter sp. Tpl-58. RNAcentral's name for it is "bacterial SSU rRNA". It matches the Rfam family "Bacterial small subunit ribosomal RNA", at positions 90 to 1046 of the family's 1533-position model. Lineage: Bacteria; Bacillati; Actinomycetota; Actinomycetes; Micrococcales; Microbacteriaceae. The record is from RNAcentral.